Molecule: ribosomal RNA, 491 nt
Filed under: uncultured bacterium
Lineage: Bacteria
Description: partial 16S ribosomal RNA
Rfam family: Bacterial small subunit ribosomal RNA
Source: RNAcentral
AGUGAACGCUGGCGGUAGGCCUAACACAUGCAAGUCGAACGGCAGCACAGUAAGAGCUUGCUCUUACGGGUGGCGAGUGGCGGACGGGUGAGGAAUACAUCGGAAUCUACUUUUUCGUGGGGGAUAACGUAGGGAAACUUACGCUAAUACCGCAUACGACCUACGGGUGAAAGCAGGGGAUCUUCGGACCUUGCGCGAUUGAUUGAGCCGAUGUCGGAUUAGCUAGUUGGCGGGGUAAAGGCCCACCAAGGCGACGAUCCGUAGCUGGUCUGAGAGGAUGAUCAGCCACACUGGAACUGAGACACGGUCCAGACUCCUACGGGAGGCAGCAGUGGGGAAUAUUGGACAAUGGGCGCAAGCCUGAUCCAGCCAUACCGCGUGGGUGAAGAAGGCCUUCGGGUUGUAAAGCCCUUUUGUUGGGAAAGAAAAGCAGCAGGUUAAUACCCCGCUGUUCUGACGGUACCCAAAGAAUAAGCACCGGCUACUUCGUG